AUUGAACGCUAGCGGGAUGCCUUAUACAUGCAAGUCGAACGCGUGGCGAACGGGUGGGUAAUGUAUCGGAACGUGCCCGGUAGCGGGGGAUAACUACGCGAAAGCGUAGCUAAUACCGCAUACUUUUAGAGCGGCCUCUGUCGGAUUAGCUAGUUGGUGGGGUAACGGCUCACCUAGGCGACGAUCCCUAGCUGGUCUGAGAGGAUGACCAGCCACACUGGAACUGAGACACGGUCCAGACGCCUACGGGAGGCAGCAGUUGGGAAUAUUGCACAAUGGGCGCAAGCCUGAUGCAGCCAUGCCGCGUGUAUGAAGAAGGCCUUCGGGUUGUAAAGUACUUUCAGCGAGGAGGCGUUACUCGCAGAAGAAGCACCGGCUAACUCCGUGCCAGCAGCCGCGGUAAUAC
This 406-nucleotide ribosomal RNA is filed under the name uncultured bacterium. RNAcentral describes it as "partial 16S ribosomal RNA". It matches the Rfam family "Bacterial small subunit ribosomal RNA", at positions 30 to 526 of the family's 1533-position model. The record is from RNAcentral.